Molecule: ribosomal RNA, 500 nt
Filed under: uncultured microorganism
Description: bacterial SSU rRNA
Rfam family: Archaeal small subunit ribosomal RNA
Source: RNAcentral
AGUGGGUGUAACGUACCUACUAGCCUACGACGGGUACGGGUUGUGAGAGCAAGAGCCCGGAGAUGGAUUCUGAGACAUGAAUCCAGGCCCUACGGGGCGCAGCAGGCGCGAAAACUUUACAAUGCGGGAAACCGCGAUAAGGGGACACUGAGUGCCAGCACCAUGUGUUGGCUGUCCGCAUGUAUAAAUCACAUGUGUCAGCAAGGGCCGGGCAAGACCGGUGCCAGCCGCCGCGGUAACACCGGCGGCCCGAGUGGUGGCCAUUAUUAUUGGGUCUAAAGGGUCCGUAGCCGGUUUGAUCAGUCUUCCGGGAAAUCUGACAGCUCAACUGUUAGGCUUCUGGGGGAUACUGUCAGACUUGGAACCGGGAGAGGUAAGAGGUACUACAGGGGUAGGAGUGAAAUCUUGUAAUCCUUGUGGGACCACCAGUGGCGAAGGCGUCUUACCAGAACGGGUUCGACGGUGAGGGACGAAAGCUGGGGGCACGAACCGGAUUAGAU